Molecule: non-coding RNA, 96 nt
Organism: Mycena epipterygia
Lineage: Eukaryota; Fungi; Basidiomycota; Agaricomycetes; Agaricales; Mycenaceae
Source: the annotation of a GenBank genome assembly
GGCCGUCUAGCUCAGUUGGUUAGAGCGUCGUGCUAAUAUAUUGUCAAUCUCCCCAUUAUUACGCGAAGGUCUUGGGUUCGACCCCCACGAUGGCCA